Molecule: ribosomal RNA, 281 nt
Filed under: uncultured Pseudomonas sp.
Lineage: Bacteria; Pseudomonadati; Pseudomonadota; Gammaproteobacteria; Pseudomonadales; Pseudomonadaceae
Description: partial 16S ribosomal RNA
Rfam family: Bacterial small subunit ribosomal RNA
Source: RNAcentral
UUGUCCUUAGUUACCAGCACGUUAUGGUGGGCACUCUAAAGGAGACUGCCGGGUGACAAACCGGAGGAAGGUGGGGGAUGACGUCAAGUCAUCAUGGCCCUUACGGCCUGGGCUACACACGUGCUACAAUGGUCGGUACAAAGGGUUGCCAAGCCGCGAGGUGGAGCUAAUCCCAUAAAACCGAUCGUAGUCCGGAUCGCAGUCUGCAACUCGACUGCGUGAAGUCGGAAUCGCUAGUAAUCGUGAAUCAGAAUGUCACGGUGAAUACGUUCCCGGGCCUU